Molecule: ribosomal RNA, 301 nt
Filed under: uncultured bacterium
Lineage: Bacteria
Description: partial 16S ribosomal RNA
Rfam family: Bacterial small subunit ribosomal RNA
Source: RNAcentral
CAGCAGCCGCGGUAACACGUAGGUGGCAAGCGUUGUCCGGAAUUAUUGGGCGUAAAGCGCGCGCAAGUGGUUUCUUAAGUCUGAUGUGAAAGCCCACGGCUCAACCGUGGAGGGUCAUUGGAAACUGGGAGACUUGAGUGCAGAAGAGGAGAGUGGAAUUCCACGUGUAGCGGUGAAAUGCGUAGAGAUGUGGAGGAACACCAGUGGCGAAGGCGACUCUCUGGUCUGUAACUGACGCUGAGGAGCGAAAGCGUGGGGAGCGAACAGGAUUAGAUACCCGAGUAGUCCCUGUCUCUUAUAA